Non-coding RNA from Picea glauca (white spruce), 119 nucleotides. Lineage: Eukaryota; Viridiplantae; Streptophyta; Pinopsida; Pinales; Pinaceae. The record is from Rfam.
GGGUGCGAUCAUACCAACGAUAAUGCACCAGAUCCCAUCAAAACUCCGCAGCUAAGCACGCUUGGGCUAGAGUAGUACUGGGAUGGGUGACCUCCCGGGAAGUCCUAGUGUUGCACCCU